Molecule: ribosomal RNA, 392 nt
Filed under: uncultured soil bacterium
Lineage: Bacteria
Description: bacterial SSU rRNA
Rfam family: Bacterial small subunit ribosomal RNA
Source: RNAcentral
AGAGUGAACGCUGGCGGUAGGCCUAACACAUGCAAGUCGAACGGCAGCACAGGAGAGCUUGCUCUCUGGGUGGCGAGUGGCGGACGGGUGAGGAAUACAUCGGAAUCUACCUUUUCGUGGGGGAUAACGUAGGGAAACUUACGCUAAUACCGCAUAAGACCUUCGAGUGAAAGCCGGGGACCUUCGGGCCUGGCGCGGAUAGAUGAGCCGAUGUCGGAUAGCUUGUUGGCGGGUAAAGCCACCAAGGCGACGAUCCGUAGCUGGUCUGAGAGGAUGGAUCAGCCACACUGGAACUGAGACACGGUCCAGACUCUACGGAGGCAGCAGUGGGAAUAGUGGACUAAUGGGCGCAAGGCCUAGAUCCAGCCAUACCGCGUAGGGUGAACGGAGGU